GUGUUUAUUUUUACCUUUGUUGCUUUCCGGCGGGCCCGCCUUAACUUGGCCGCCGGGGGGCUUACGCCCCCGGGCCCGCGCCCGCCGAAGACACCCUCGAACUCUGUCUGAAGAUUGAAGUCUGAGUGAAAAUAUAAAUUAUUUAAAACUUUCAACAACGGAUCUCUUGGUUCCGGCAUCGAUGAAGAACGCAGCGAAAUGCGAUACGUAAUGUGAAUUGCAAAUUCAGUGAAUCAUCGAGUCUUUGAACGCACAUUGCGCCCCCUGGUAUUCCGGGGGGCAUGCCUGUCCGAGCGUCAUUGCUGCCCUCAAGCCCGGCUUGUGUGUUGGGCCCCGUCCCCCGAUCUCCGGGGGACGGGCCCGAAAGGCAGCGGCGGCACCGCGUCCGGUCCUCGAGCGUAUGGGGCUUUGUCACCCGCUCUGUAGGCCCGGCCGGCGCUUGCCGAUCAACCCAAAUUUUUAUCCAGGUUGACCUCGGAUCAGGUAGGGGAUACCCGCUGAACUUAAGCAUAUCAA
This 516-nucleotide ribosomal RNA is filed under the name Penicillium crustosum. Its description in RNAcentral is "eukaryotic LSU rRNA". The stretch from base 147 to 299 matches the Rfam family "5.8S ribosomal RNA". Lineage: Eukaryota; Fungi; Ascomycota; Eurotiomycetes; Eurotiales; Aspergillaceae. The record is from RNAcentral.